AUAUGGUUUAAUGAAUUCAUUUAUACUUUAUCAAUCACUGCAUGUACAUAUCCUUUGUGUUUCAAAUGCUAUUCUUAAGUAACAAGUUAUUGAAAAGCAAGUAAAGUAUUUCCAGUAACUUUACACAAAAUGAGUUGCUGUAUUUCUUGCUUUCAGUUCAAUUACUUCAGAUGAUCUGUAAAUUUUCAAUAAUGGCAAUACAUUCAUUCUGCCAUUUGGAGGAGCCUGUGCCACAGAAUAAUGAUCUGAAGAAAGCUCACUCAUUUGCAAGGAAGAGACUUCAUUUGGGAAUUAUCACUGAUGCAGCUCAUGGGUGUUUUUUCAAGUCCAGUGCAGCUGGAAUUGGCAGAUGCUUUUUCAAACAACCAAGCAAAGUGCAGGUGUGGGUUGCUUGUCAGAAAUCCGUUCUGAAGCUUGAGUGCAAAGGAAGCAGGGUACUAAUGAUGAAUACGAAUGGAUUUCUUGAGGAUAACAAUGGAUCUUCAAAAGCAGUGGCAUUCUGGUUGCCUCAGUUUCUUCUCCUGAGUCUCAGAAAUCUGGAAUAG
This is a long non-coding RNA of Chloebia gouldiae (Gouldian finch), 545 nucleotides long. NCBI's taxonomy places the organism in Eukaryota, Metazoa, Chordata, Aves, Passeriformes, Passeridae. The record is from Ensembl.